AGAGAAAUUAAUGGUAGAGAAAUAUAACCUGGGGACACUUUUGCUGAACUCAUUGGUUACAGUUUACUAAAGACAGAGAGCCAAAUUCCCAGCUAGGGUAACUUGUUUCAUUUCCACUGACUUUCAAGAGGCUCUGAAGUCUAAGGGCUUGUAAGAGCUCAAAACUGAAGACAGAACACUGAAAGGAAUUUGAGGAAGUAGUGGAGCAAGCCUGAGAACCUGCUUGCUUUGGAGAAACAUCAUGGCAAGAUGACGUGAACUCACAGUGAAGUGCCUUUCACUGGCCUGUAGAGCUUCAGUGAUGGAAAAUGUGACUACAGCUUGAAGCAGGCUGAAAGCAACAAAAACACAAGCCCUGAUACAAGAUUCUGUGCAAACUUCUUCUGGGUUGAGCUGGAAAUGGAUGGCUUUCUGAAAGGAUUUUGACAGCUCCGCUUUUCUUUUCUUUUUUUUAAUUAAAUUGAAUAGAAAGGAAAAAGGAAAGGAAAAUUAAUUAAGAGCUUUUUGUUUGUUUGAUCUUAGUAGACAGUUAAGCUCAAUUUUUAUUGGAUCUUUAGGCAGGGAUUCUGGUUUAUUUAUCCAAUCUGUCUGACGAUUAUUAUAUUUCUGGUAGGGUGAACACCAAAGAAUAAAUGAAGGAUAAUGAGAUAAACA
Molecule: long non-coding RNA, 654 nt
Filed under: Dromaius novaehollandiae (emu)
Lineage: Eukaryota; Metazoa; Chordata; Aves; Casuariiformes; Dromaiidae
Description: lncRNA (ENSDNVG00000014726.1)
Source: RNAcentral